Non-coding RNA from Lactuca sativa (garden lettuce), 1511 nucleotides. The record is from RefSeq and is a predicted model, not a curated record. Lineage: Eukaryota; Viridiplantae; Streptophyta; Magnoliopsida; Asterales; Asteraceae.
UAGAAUAUUCUUCGCCAAAGAGGUGGGACGAACAUGUCAUGUUUACAUCAUUUUUCAUCUUUUUCUUUAUUUUAUUAUAGCUUUUUGAUCACGCACACAUGGUGCUUGACAAAAUUCCUAACUCAUGUAUAGGACGAAAUUCUGCAAUAUAUGUUUUGAACUUCAUGUAAGUUGUACAUUCACAUGCCAAUUUUUUUUUUCUUUUAGAUAUCAGUUUCUCUCUUGAAAUGUUAUUAAUGGUGUGCUAUUUUUUAGCAUGUCAAUCCAUAUUAAACAAAAUUUCAAAAGGUCGUAGUGUUUUGUGUUAUGUUGGCAUGUUAACACUUGUCACACACCAUCAGCUAUCUUCUAUUAUGAAAUUAUGUAUUCGUUCACUCUCCUUCUCGAGAACCACAUACUAUCAUCAGAAAACUAUAUUGAUAUGAUUUAUUGCUUGAAGAUGGAAUCAAUUACCCAACAUGUUGGUUCUGAGAUGGUAGUUAAGCAUUAUUUUCAAUAUCAUUCCUUCAUAGAACUUGACACUUGACUUGAACCUGAAGCUGCAAGUUUGCAAGAAGGGGAUAGUUGUAUACGACAGCUGUAAUCAGAAUGAAAAAAAGGUAAGUUCUUCAUGAGAAAUUGUUUAGACUAUCUACCAAAGGUCUGAAAUACCCCUGAUUCAAUUAGACUUGUCAAAUAGUUGAACUUGAAAGGCACUUUAUCCUUUGGGAUUUGGGUAUGCAUAAUGCAUGGUGAGUUAAUAGGGUUGCAUAAAUAGCUAUAAAAAAAUUACCAUUUUAGUGUGUUUUUCAAAUUGUUUCAAAAAAGAGUUCAAAAAACCUUUUAAUAAUGAUAAAAUAAGGAAAUUUUUCUUCUGUGGAAGUGAGUCAUGAGUUUGUGGAGACAGAAUAUUACAAUGAUCAUAGUGGUGUUGACAAGCAACAACACAUAGUAUAAGUUAUAAUUAUUUAAUAUAUUUCCCUUUUUAUAUAAAUAAAAAUGUCUCAUUAACUUUUCUACACUAUAAAAGGGGCAUAAAUGAAUCUAAAAUUCUUAUCCUUUUGCAAUUUAAGUGUAUCAACAGUGUAUAGUAAAAACCAAAAACUUUUGUCUCCAUUUUCCUUAUAGGCAAAUGGAAAUACGUGUAUUUUGAUUUACUGCACUUUCAAUUUCUCUAAUAUCAAGACAUUCUACCUAUAAAAUCUAGCAAUUAUAGCACUUUACUAUUGAGGUAGGCCGUGAAUUGGACAAUAUGCAUCAUGCUUCAUGCAAGGAGAAUCCAACCACUAAUGAGUGGACCCCAGCACCUACUGACAUGAAUUCUUGUCUCUGAUAAACAUCAAAGGAGCGAUAAUUGAAAUGGACUAUUUGCUUCAGAUGUUGAAAUCGAAUAGCAAGACAAGUAGAUGACAAACAAGUUUUGUGAAUUUAAGGUGUUUUAUAUUCCUAAAAAUGUAAAAUAUUAUCAAACAGUUUCCAAAAAUUGUCAAACCUUGUAUUUUCAUUGUAAAUACAAUAGAGGUUUUCCAGAA